RNAcentral lists this ribosomal RNA (498 nucleotides) under uncultured bacterium. RNAcentral's name for it is "partial 16S ribosomal RNA". It matches the Rfam family "Bacterial small subunit ribosomal RNA", at positions 27 to 507 of the family's 1533-position model. The record is from RNAcentral.
GGAUGAACGCUGGCGGCGUGCCUAAUACAUGCAAGUCGAGCGAACGGACGAGACGCUUGCUUCUCUGAUGUUAGCGGCGGACGGGUGAGUAACACGUGGAUAACCUACCUAUAAGACUGGGAUAACUUCGGGAAACCGGGGCUAAUACCGGAUAAUAUUUUGAACCGCAUGGUUCAAAAGUGAAAGACGGUCUUGCUGUCACUUAUAGAUGGAUCCGCGCUGCAUUAGCUAGUUGGUAAGGUAACGGCUUACCAAGGCAACGAUGCAUAGCCGACCUGAGAGGGUGAUCGGCCACACUGGAACUGAGACACGGUCCAGACUCCUACGGGAGGCAGCAGUAGGGAAUCUUCCGCAAUGGGCGAAAGCCUGACGGAGCAACGCCGCGUGAGUGAUGAAGGUCUUCGGAUCGUAAAACUCUGUUAUUAGGGAAGAACAUAUGUGUAAGUAACUGUGCACAUCUUGACGGUACCUAAUCAGAAAGCCACGGCUAACUACGUG